GAUGAACGCUGGCGGCGUGCCUAAUACAUGCAAGUCGAGCGAACAGACGAGGAGCUUGCUCCUCUGAUGUUAGCGGCGGACGGGUGAGUAACACGUGGAUAACCUACCUAUAAGACUGGGAUAACUUCGGGAAACCGGAGCUAAUACCGGAUAACAUGUUGAACCGCAUGGUUCAACAGUGGAAGACGGUCUUGCUGUCACUUAUAGAUGGAUCCGCGCCGCAUUAGCUAGUUGGUAAGGUAACGGCUUACCAAGGCAACGAUGCGUAGCCGACCUGAGAGGGUGAUCGGCCACACUGGAACUGAGACACGGUCCAGACUCCUACGGGAGGCAGCAGUAGGGAAUCUUCCGCAAUGGGCGAAAGCCUGACGGAGCAACGCCGCGUGAGUGAAGAAGGUCUUCGGAUCGUAAAACUCUGUUAUUAGGGAAGAACAAAUGUGUAAGUAACUAUGCACGUCUUGACGGUACCUAAUCAGAAAGCCACGGCUAACUACGUG
This 497-nucleotide ribosomal RNA is filed under the name uncultured bacterium. Its description in RNAcentral is "partial 16S ribosomal RNA". It matches the Rfam family "Bacterial small subunit ribosomal RNA", at positions 28 to 507 of the family's 1533-position model. The record is from RNAcentral.